UGAAUACGAGAUGCUACGGCGUCGAAGCAGUCUAUGUCAUACUUCCAAGAAAAGCUUGCACUGUCAUAAACAAAUAAUGCCUGUACCAUAACCGACACAGGUGGGUAGGUAGAGUAUACUAAGGGGCGCGAGAUAACUCUCUCUAAGGAACUCGGCAAAAUGACUCCGUAACUUCGGGAGAAGGAGUGCCUUAUUUAUAAGGUUGCAAUAACAAGAUCCAAGCAACUGUUUACCAAAAACACAGGUCUCCGCUAAGUCGUAAGACGAUGUAUGGGGGCUGACGCCUGCCCAGUGCCAGAAGGUUAAAGAAGUUGGUUAGCAUCCGCGAAGCUGAUAACUGAAGCCCUGGUGAACGGCGGCCGUAACAAUAACGGUCCUAAGGUAGCGAAAUUCCUUGUCGGGUAAGUUCCGACCCGCACGAAAGGCGUAAUGAUUUGGAUACUGUCUCGGAGAGGGGCUCGGUGAAAUAGACUUGUCUGUGAAGAUGCGGACUACCUGCACCAGGACAGAAAGACCCUAUGAAGCUUUACUGUAACCUGAAAUUGAAAUUGGACUUUACUUGCGCAGUAUAGGUGGGAGGCGUUGAGAAUAUUCUUGCGGGAUUAUUGGAGCCAUCAGUGAGAUACCACUCUUGUAAUGUUAGAUUUCUAACUUUGUAUCAUUAUCUGGUCAAAGAACAGUUUCAGGCGGGCAGUUUGACUGGGGCGGUCGCCUCCUAAACGGUAACGGAGGCGCACAAAGGUUUCCUCUGAACGGGUAGAAAUCGUAUCUAGAGUGUAAAGGCAUAAGGAAGCUUGACUGUGAGACCUACAAGUCGAGCAGGGACGAAAGUCGGUCUUAGUGAUCUGACGGUGCUGAGUGGAAAGGCCGUCACUCAACGGAUAAAAGUUACUCUAGGAUAACAGGCUGAUCUCCCCCAAGAGUUCACAUCGACGGGGAGGUUUGGCACCUCGAUGUCGGCUCAUCGCAUCCUGGGGCGGUAGUACGUCCCAAGGGUUGGGCUGUUCGCCCAUGAAAGCGGUACGCGAGCUGGGUUCAGAACGUCGUGAGACAGUUCGGUCCAUAUCCGGUGUAGGCGUUAGAAUAUUGAGAGGAGCCUUCUUUAGUACGAGAGGACCGAGAAGGACAUACCUCUGGUGUACCAGUUAUCGUGCCAACGGUAAACGCUGGGUAGCUAUGUGUGGAGUGGAUAACCGCUGAAAGCAUCUAAGUGGGAAGCCCACCUCAAGAUAAGUAUUCUCAC
RNAcentral lists this ribosomal RNA (1243 nucleotides) under metagenome. RNAcentral describes it as "bacterial LSU rRNA". It matches the Rfam family "Bacterial large subunit ribosomal RNA", at positions 1564 to 2817 of the family's 2925-position model. The record is from RNAcentral.